UGGGGAAUAUUGCACAAUGGGCGCAAGCCUGAUGCAGCCAUGCCGCGUGUGUGAAGAAGGCCUUCGGGUUGUAAAGCACUUUCAGCGAGGAGGAAGGUGGUGAACUUAAUACGUUCAUCAAUUGACGCUACUCGCAGAAGAAGCACCGGCUAACUCCGUGCCAGCAGCCGCGGUAAUACGGAGGGUGCAAGCGUUAAUCGGAAUUACUGGGCGUAAAGCGCACGCAGGCGGUUUGUUAAGUCAGAUGUGAAAUCCCCGGGCUCAACCUGGGAACUGCAUUUGAAACUGGCAAGCUAGAGUCUCGUAGAGGGGGGUAGAAUUCCAGGUGUAGCGGUGAAAUGCGUAGAGAUCUGGAGGAAUACCGGUGGCGAAGGCGGCCCCCUGGACGAAGACUGACGCUCAGGUGCGAAAGGCGUGGGGCAGCAAACAGGAUUAGAUACCCCUGGUAGUCCACGCUGUAAAACGAUGUCGAUUUUGGAGGUUGUGCCCUUGAGGCGUGGCUUCCGGAGCUAACGCGUUAAAUCGACCGCCUGGGG
This 536-nucleotide ribosomal RNA is filed under the name uncultured bacterium. RNAcentral describes it as "partial 16S ribosomal RNA". It matches the Rfam family "Bacterial small subunit ribosomal RNA", at positions 355 to 878 of the family's 1533-position model. The record is from RNAcentral.